This is a non-coding RNA of Camellia sinensis, 3263 nucleotides long. NCBI's taxonomy places the organism in Eukaryota, Viridiplantae, Streptophyta, Magnoliopsida, Ericales, Theaceae. The record is from RefSeq and is a predicted model, not a curated record.
UAUAUUUUCCCCUUUUCCUUAUAUUUGCCCUAGCCCUUCACAAUGAUCGUUCUCUCUCUCUCUCUCUCUCUCUCUCUCUCGCUCGCAUGCGUUCUCGCUGUCUGUCUCGGUCUCACACUGCUUUUCCCGAUUCUUUCGAACUCGAUCAUUGAAGGUGAUUUAUUGUCUGGAAGGAGCACGGAUUGGCAUACCAUAGGAGACAUCUUUCGCAGCAAAUUUUUUGACAACAUCAUUAACAGAGACAUACCCUGGCCCAAAAUACCGGAUGAAAUGAGAUACGAAGCGUAUGACUUAAUUGACAAGAGGGUCUUCAUGACACUAUUGGAUCGAUAUUCCUUCAUGUUUUCGUUUAUCUUCUCAGCGGCAACAACCAUCCGACAGCUCCGACACCUUGAGAUUCAGCUGGAAUUUGAUGCAUUGAAGCCCUUUAUUCUUCUGUAGUCAUCUUUGAAAACUUUCAGAUAUGGGAAUACUUCUUGGGAAGAAAUUGUCUGGAAAGCAUAUGUGACUUCAAGUAUAUUUUCAUAUCCUUCUAGUAUUGUGGUGGUGCAGUUGGGGGGAAGGGGAGGACAAAAAAGCAGGAUUGAGCAUAUAAUGAAGGAUAUUAAUUUCUGGAUAUUGAUUGUUGGGUUUUAUGUCAUAUAAAGUGAGAUGGAAGGGAUAGGGUGACUUUUUAAGGAUUUUUUUAAUAGCCUUGUGGAGUUGUAAUUUUUUCUUUGUACUUCUAUUUGGGAUAUGUUGAAUUUUCUUUCCUAUAUCGUCCUCCUUAUUUGCUGCUGUUGUUGCUGUUGCAUUGGAGUGAUAUUUAUUCAGGCUAAUUACGCAUGCCUCCUUUAUGGUACUUGACAAUCUAUGAAGCAUAGACACUACUCCUAACCUCACUAAUCUGUGUUCGAUAUGUCUGGUACAUAGACACGUUCGGACACACUCUUAACACACUCCUCAGAGUGUUUGAAUUUUUUGUUUUAUUUUUCUGUUUACACAUGUUGUGGGACAUAUGCUAGGACACGUUGAUGGACACACUGAAAGAGUAGGACAUUCUGGGUCACAACCCUAGACUCUCUCUCUCUCUCUCUCAUAUUUUUUUUGGAUUGACUUAGUCUAAUUUCUCCUCUCUGUUCUUUCUCUCUUUUUUGUGAAGCACACUGUAAAUUAACUUGUUUAUUUAUUUUUUCCCAAACAUAGAAGAGGCUCUAAAGGCUCCUAUGUUUUUGUUAAGUCCACUGCUUUCUCAUAGGUCAUCUGUCUUUUCUCCAUAUCUAUUGUGGAUAUCGUUAGUUUUUUGGCAUUGUUACUUGUAUUGGGCAUUGACAGUUCUUAUUCUCUUGUUUACUAGCCUGCUUGUUAUAAUAAUAAUAAUAAUAAUAAUAAUAAUAAUAAUAAUAAUAAUAAUAAUAAAAUUUAUAGCAAUGUGAUUGAUAUGCAAAUUGUUGUGAAUGCUUGUGGGUAAUGUGAUUGUUAUUAAAUUUUUAUUUGUGUUUUACCCCUAAUUUGAUUGAAAUAAUGUUUUCUUUUUCUUCUAUGGAUUUAUAAUAUAUAUGUAUUUAUACGUGUCCUUGUCCUAAUUUUUAAAAAAAUGUCGUGUCAGAAUCUGAGUGUCAUGUUGUGAUGUCGUGUCUGUGUCCGUAUCUAUAUCCGUAUCCGUGUUUCAUAGCUAACAAUUAGAAGACCUAACUUGAGGUUUUUGAAAUUACACUUCCUUGCCUUACUUUACUAGAUAAUAUAACACCCCUUCCCUCUAUUAUGUUGUCAUUGGACAACUAACAGAAAAUUAUGAUGUUGGCAUUUUUAGUGUUUAAAUACCAAAACUACCUUUGCAAGCAUAACUAAAUACCUCUCUACCAACACACAAUGAAACACCUCCAUCUCUUUGCCCUCUUUAUUCUUUCCACUACCAUAGCCACAUAACCACCACCACCACCACCACCACCACCACCAUAGCCUCAUGACAGGACCCACAACCACCAUAGAGAGAGAAUGAUGGAAGAGACGAAACUCACGACAGAUAGACUGGUGAAGAAUAGCGCUCCCCCUCCUUGAAUUAGGAUUGGAUAUUCAAACUCGGUUUUUGAUUUGGGGAUUUCAAAACAAAAACAAAAACAAAAAAAUGGGUUUUUAUUGUGAUUUCAAUUGAAAAAUUAGUGUUUUGAUUGAGAGAACCUAAAAAAUUGACAAAAUAUUAGUUUUAGGUUGUGGAAUUGGGUUUUGUCUUAAAUGUGAGUUGGGAAAAGUUUGGAAUUUGAUUCUCUCUGAAUCUGAGUUGGAAUUAAUUGAAAUAAAUUGGGUUAUUUAAUGGGUUGAACAAAUGUAUCUCUUUGCCCUCUUUAUUCUCUCCACUACCAUAGCCACAUAACCACCACCACCACCACCACCACCAUAGCCUCAUGACAACUCAAUGACGAUGUAAGAUGCUGAUCAAGGAAUGAGGCUCAAUGUUUCUCACUGAUCGACCGUGUUUUUCAUUCACUACAAUUUUUGUUAUAUUAUGACCUCGUCAAAGCUCUUGGGUUUUCAUUUGUUCUUUGUUCUUUGUAGAUUAUCGUCUCCCCUAAAAAGGCAUUAUAUUUGAUAGAGGGUGAAAUUGAAAGCUAGUUUUAUACAUUAUUUUUUUUGUUUGUUUGUUUGUUUGCUAUUGUCAACUUCUUGUUGAUGCCAAGGGGUGUAAAAUAUGUGGUGUUGGGGCCAAGGGUGUUCAAUGAAAUGCUUGGUAGGAGUAUGGUUUGUUAUUGAUUUUAAUUAUUGGGUUUGUAAAGUCUACCAAUGAAAUGCCUGUGCUUGUCUACAUUUGGUUUUUUAUUGUUGCCUAGGUCUUGGCUUUUUAAUUACUUGAUUUGUAAAUGCCUAGUAGGAGUAUGUUUGCAACAUGUUAUUCAACAAAGCUGAUGGGGUUGGCUUAUGGUGACACCCACCUUGUUGCCAUUGGAUCAACACUCUUGGCAAUGGAGAUUCAUUUAGAGAUUCAUUUAGCUCAAACAUGGUGGCAUGUGAGAGGGGAAUAUACUUGUUUGCAGAAGUUUUGACAAGGGAGAACAGAGUGAUGGGAGUUUUGUGCGCUAAUAAGAGGGAUAUUGGUCUUUGGUUUGCUUCACUUGAUUGGAUCUUGUAGGCCUUGCCAAGGGAGGGAGUUGAAGGAUGGAAGGGAUUUGUUUAUGCCUUCGGUGGAUUUGUGCAAAGAUGGUGCUUGGAGUAAGAUUAGGAACUUGAAUGAGUUUGAUGAUGGGAAGUCUCUUACAGAUCUUUUAUGGUGGAUCCAUAGUAGACGU